UGACCAAAAGGAGAGGCGUUUCUCACAAUCCUUUCUUUCCGCGACGUGGACCACGAUACUGAACGUCUUACGGCAAAUAAAAUUGGGCUCGUUUAAAAAAAGAAUAAUAAUAAAAUAAUAAUAAUAAUAAAAAGGCACUGUGAGGCGUGUUAAGAAGUGUUGUUUUAGCGUGGCUCGGGAAGCGUGGUUUCAGGAGGAGAUUUAUUCCUGAAACACGGAUGCGCUGAGAUCAAGAUACGUGAUGGCUGGUAAAUAGCCGCCUACCUGCCUGUAUGACUCUCAGCUCUCUCAGUCUGAGGCAGGAUUACACCCAGGUCUGAAUGACUUAGAAAAGCGAAUGAAAUGAAUCGACAGGAUUUCCCCGGCUUCCUGGAAGGAGUGCAACCUGGGUUUUAACGCUGAAGCCGUUUUUUGUUUUCAAGAAGCCGGUUUUUUGGCGCUCCACUGAAUCGAUACAGUUUUGGCAGGACACACUACAACAGCACGCUGGGUUUAUCAUUUUCAUUCGUAUUUUUAUUCUACCUGUAUUCAUUAUGCGAACUGUCUAGCUUUGUGCGAGAUAUUAUUCCUGUCAAUAUACAACCUUUGAACUGUUCAGAGCACGUGCGCGCGCCUCGAGCUAAACGGGGUGGUGUCAGUCAGCCACGCAGCAGCCCCGCCCACUCACCACAAGAAAAGCCCCGCCCACUUCCUACACACCCGUAGGGACUGUCCUGAAACUCCUCCGAGUCUGAACUGAGCUACUCCUGAGGUCUCUUUCACAUUCACUGUUAAACUCCACCCUGGCUUUAUUCCAUAAUAUUUUGUAUCCAUAGAGCAAGAGGACUACUUCCUUCUUCCCCCCACCGAGUCCUGUUUCUGAGGUCAUAUGUAGUGCCCCAGCGCUGACCUGACAAUGAGUCACACCCAAGCACGCAAAUCUUCUCAACAUUUCACUGACGGAUGUAAAGAAUUCUGGACAGGAACCAGCUCGUCACAUAUCAGUGCUAAUGAAGACCGUGAGAAUGUGUGUGUGUGUGUGUGCUUGAGGAAUUCUUGUAAAGUGUCUCUUGUGAUCACCGUCAUCUUAACUGAUGUAUAAAACAACCAGAACCAGUCAAGUCGCAGUAUCAGUUGUUGCUAGAGUGUAAGCCGAGCUUCAGGUGCUCUUCCUUUCAUCGUAUCAAACUUUGGUAUUGCUGUUAACGUUAAAAUGAAAUUUGUAAAAGGGUUUGCUAAAGAAUGUUUGCUACACACCGGUCGUGUUCUGGAAGGGAGUGUUCGGUUGACUUGACUAAGCACUGUUUGUGUUCAGAUAGAGCACCGCCUCAAGCAUUUUAUCAUCUUUCAGCGAAACCGGAGAUUUAUGUUUAAGCAUUAGGACUCUUCACAUAUGCACUUAACACGGCGCAUGCUGACUCUGCAAAAACUUGUACAGCAAAGCUCCUGCCGAGAAUAUAGUCAGCCAUCAGGUGAGCGAGGAAUGAAACAUGACUAGGUGUGCUGUUAUAUAGUGAUAGCACCCUCUCUUAUGCCACAGCAAUUUCGCAACUAUUACAAUAUUUAUUCAUUAAAGAAUGACUUGUCAUACCUUUUCAUUUGUUUAUGGUUACAUUUAAUGUUGUGGACACCUAUGAAACAAGUUUGUUCCUGUUAUCAUGAUGUAACUCACUGUAUUGUCUGUCUUCAAAUUAAUAAGGCAAAGUUUUUUUUGUUUUUUUAAACCCACAGCAUGUCAUGUUACAGAGAGAGUGGAAAGAACUGACACUCAGCACUCCUUCCAUAAAUGUUCAAUAAACAUCUUCUAAUAGAAAACUUCACAUCAAUUAUUAUACAUAUUUCUUUGUUAAAUAACAUGUUGUUUUUUUUAUCAGUUUAUUAUUAGGUUUAGAAUAGGUGGAGCAUCCACCAUGUAUGAGUCCCUGUGUAUGAGCUGUUACUAUAGAAACAAUAUCAUUUAAUGGAAUAAUAGAGUGUAGAAUAUAAACCCGUUUACGUUACAGCCGGAGAUAUUGUCGGAGCGGUGCUGUUUAUAGCAGAUGAAUCUACACCACCUUCUUUGAGAAUUCAUCAGCUCUGUGGUAUAAAGAAUAUUAAUGACCACCUUCUGACCAAUCAGAAUCGAGCAUUCAACAGCACUAGUUUGUAACGAAGGUUCAGAUACUUUAGUUGCUCCUCAUCAUGUCCGUCUUUAAUCAAAUCUUAACAAGAGACUGACUUUCUAGAAAAAACAAACUGGUCUGACAUCAGCAGCAAGAAUCAGUUCCAAGUUAAUCAUGUUUUCAGUUACAUUUAAAAUUAUGGAUUAUGUUUCAUAGUAUGGCUUCCUGGAAGUGCCCACAAGUUUGGCUU
Long non-coding RNA from Ictalurus punctatus (channel catfish), 2331 nucleotides. RefSeq lists it as uncharacterized. Lineage: Eukaryota; Metazoa; Chordata; Actinopteri; Siluriformes; Ictaluridae. The transcript is spliced from 3 exons. The record is from RefSeq and is a predicted model, not a curated record.